Trematomus bernacchii (emerald rockcod) is the source of this 372-nucleotide long non-coding RNA. RefSeq lists it as uncharacterized. The transcript is spliced from 3 exons. The record is from RefSeq and is a predicted model, not a curated record. NCBI's taxonomy places the organism in Eukaryota, Metazoa, Chordata, Actinopteri, Perciformes, Nototheniidae.
UUUGAACACAUCGUACCUCCUUCACUUCUCACAGAGAUGAGAGGAGCAGCUAUGAGUCUAACUGCAGCAGCGAGUGGAUUAGUCGUCUUCCUGCUCUCUGUGUCAGUGGUUCAGGGAGGGCAUGGCUGGGGAGUGACUUAUUCUUCUACUAAGAUAUGUGCAGUGAAAGGAUCAACAGUGGAGAUAAGAUGCAGCUUCACAUACCCAUCCACAUGGAGAGGCAGUGUUAACACAGUAGAGAAAACAUUCUGGUUCACUAAAUGGAGUAAGCCUGAACCUGUAGAUCUGACCACAGUCUCAGAGUAUUCAGGUCGUGUAGAGGAUCUCUGUGAAAACAACACCUGCACUCUGAGAAUCAGAAACCUGACAGAG